RNAcentral lists this small nuclear RNA (196 nucleotides) under Cucumis melo (muskmelon). Its description in RNAcentral is "U2 spliceosomal RNA". It matches the Rfam family "U2 spliceosomal RNA". Rfam says of the family: U2 is a small nuclear RNA (snRNA) component of the spliceosome (involved in pre-mRNA splicing). Complementary binding between U2 snRNA (in an area lying towards the 5' end but 3' to hairpin I) and the branchpoint sequence (BPS) of the intron results the bulging out of an unpaired adenosine, on the BPS, which initiates a nucleophilic attack at the intronic 5' splice site, thus starting the first of two transesterification reactions that mediate splicing. Lineage: Eukaryota; Viridiplantae; Streptophyta; Magnoliopsida; Cucurbitales; Cucurbitaceae. RNAcentral also lists the same sequence under 1 other name. The record is from Rfam by way of RNAcentral.
AUACCUUUCUCGGCCUUUUGGCUAAGAUCAAGUGUAGUAUCUGUUCUUAUCAGUUUAAUAUCUGAUACGUGGGCCAUUGGCCUACAUGAUAUUAAAUUAAUUUAUUAAGGGGGAAGGUCUACUUUGGUAGCUUGCUGCCAUGGCCUUCGAGUGUCGCCCAUGCGUUGCACUACAGCUUGGGUCUGGCGCACUCCUC